RNAcentral lists this non-coding RNA (200 nucleotides) under Aeribacillus pallidus. The record is from RNAcentral. Lineage: Bacteria; Bacillati; Bacillota; Bacilli; Caryophanales; Bacillaceae.
AUAGUGUUCCAAGCAGCAGGUGCGUCAUAUUGCGUCGGCAAUAUGCGCUUAAAAGGGAAGAUUGGUGAAAUUCCAACACGGUCGCGCCACUGUGAUGGGGAGCUUUUGGCCAUCAUCCACUGUUUCAAUUUUUGAAAUGGGAAGGAGGAUCGAAAGCGAUGAUCCUAAGUCAGGAGACCUGCCUGUUGUAUGCACUGCCA